GCCGGAGUAGCUCAUCGGUAGAGCAGCACCAUGGUAGGGUGUUGGCAGCGGGUUCAAUUCCCGCCUCCGGCU
This 72-nucleotide transfer RNA is filed under the name Candidatus Sungiibacteriota bacterium. RNAcentral describes it as "tRNA-Thr". It matches the Rfam family "tRNA". Rfam says of the family: Transfer RNA (tRNA) molecules are approximately 80 nucleotides in length. Their secondary structure includes four short double-helical elements and three loops (D, anti-codon, and T loops). The record is from RNAcentral. Lineage: Bacteria; Candidatus Sungiibacteriota.